RNAcentral lists this ribosomal RNA (500 nucleotides) under uncultured bacterium. RNAcentral describes it as "bacterial SSU rRNA". It matches the Rfam family "Bacterial small subunit ribosomal RNA", at positions 37 to 527 of the family's 1533-position model. The record is from RNAcentral.
UAGCGGCAGGCCUAACACAUGCAAGUCGAGGGGCAUCGGGAUUGAAGCUUGCUUCAAUUGCCGGCGACCGGCGCACGGGUGCGUAACGCGUAUGUAACCUACCUAUAACAGGGGCAUAACACUGAGAAAUUGGUACUAAUUCCCCAUAAUAUUCGGAGAGGCAUCUCUCCGGGUUGAAAACUCCGGUGGUUAUAGAUGGACAUGCGUUGUAUUAGCUAGUUGGUGAGGUAACGGCUCACCAAGGCAACGAUACAUAGGGGGACUGAGAGGUUAACCCCCCACACUGGUACUGAGACACGGACCAGACUCCUACGGGAGGCAGCAGUGAGGAAUAUUGGUCAAUGGACGCAAGUCUGAACCAGCCAUGCCGCGUGCAGGAAGACGGCUCCAUGAGUUGUAAACUGCUUUUGUACGAGGGUAAACUCACCUACGUGUAGGUGACUGAAAGUAUCGUACGAAUAAGGAUCGGCUAACUCCGUGCCAGCAGCCGCGGUAAUACG